AAAAUGGUGAAAAUUCGGAUUCUGGGGGUGUUUUUGAAAAGAAAAUCGGAAAUCGAUGGUCAAAACGUAAUUUAGAAAAAUUGCACCACGUCAGCAGCCACCUCAGCAGCUCGGUCAGCAGCUCCGGCCAACUAGGCCACGCCGCGUGGCAGAGAUGCUGACGCGGGAAGGCCACGCAGAACGGCCCACGUGGGCGAUCCGCGUGCGCGUCACCGGACGGUUGAGAUCCGUUUCUGCGCGCACAGACGGCCCAGAUCAAAUGCGUGCAAGGACGGCCCAAAUUGCACGCGUGCGGAUGGUCCAGAUUGAAUCACGCACGGACGGCCCAGAUCGCAUCGCGAUGGACGGCCCAAAUUUAUUUCUAAUUUAAUCGCAAUCGGACGGUCCAUAUUAAAUCGUGAUGGACGGCUCAAAUUAAAAGGGGAGGGUUAUAAAUAAUCUCAUCCAUACCUAACCCCAAACCCUAGCCGCCAGAGCCCUCAUCGGAGAAGACAGCCCAGCCACCGGAGGAACCGACCGCCGCCACCCGCCGUCGCACCGGGGCACUUUUCGGCUGCCAAACGAGCUAAAAUUUCUCCCAUUGGCUCAGUUUUCGAUGCUGAACCCAAUUGUGGCUAAAUUGGAGCCAAACUACAGGCCAAUUGGCCAGAAAAUAUCGCCGAAGCCCAGUGGCACCGUCGCGAAUUUUCUCAAUUUUUGCCUCCAAUGAGGCCUUUCCCGAUUCCUGUUCGAUGUAAUUUUUACACCAUUGUGACCACCGUCAUUUCCUCUAUAGGUUGACAGGAGCAAAACACCAAACCGCGACUCGUGCCGGAGGAGCCGCCACACCCGAAAGCUCUGCCGCCGGUAAGUCUCAGUUUUCUGGAUUUUUUGGCCCAUCGAGGGCCUAGGAGUGUUUUAUCACAAGAACCAAUGCAAGUUUGGCCAAAUUCGACCGAAAAUGGUCAGAAACGGCCAACUUGAGGCGGAUCGCCGUCGCCAGAGCACGAUGGAGCCGCUGUGCUGGAAUUUUGAAAUCGGUCGAAUAGGCCCUGGGUUUGAUUU
This 1044-nucleotide long non-coding RNA is filed under the name Carica papaya (papaya). RNAcentral's name for it is "long non-coding RNA (CPAP_LNC006237)". The record is from RNAcentral. Lineage: Eukaryota; Viridiplantae; Streptophyta; Magnoliopsida; Brassicales; Caricaceae.